AUUCCCCUAGUAACUGCGAGUGAAGCGGGAAAAGCUCAAAUUUAAAAUCUGGUGGUCUUUGGCCAUCCGAGUUGUAAUCUAGAGAAGCGUCUUCCGCGCUGGACCGUGCACAAGUCUCCUGGAAUGGAGCGUCAUAGAGGGUGAGAAUCCCGUCUUUGGCACGGACGCACCAGGGCUAUGUGAUGCGCUCUCGAAGAGUCGAGUUGUUUGGGAAUGCAGCUCAAAAUGGGUGGUGAACUCCAUCUAAAGCUAAAUAUUGGCGAGAGACCGAUAGCGAACAAGUACCGUGAGGGAAAGAUGAAAAGCACUUUGGAAAGAGAGUGAAACAGUACGUGAAAUUGUUGAAAGGGAAACGCUUGAAGUCAGUCGCGUCGACCGAGACUCAGCCUCGCCACGGCUUGGCGUAUUUCUCGGCCGACGGGUCAGCAUCAAUUUUGCCCCUCGGAUAAUGGCAAGGGAAAGGUGGCACCUUCACGGGUGUGUUAUAGUCCCCUGUCGCAUGCGAGGGUCGGGAUUGAGGAACGCAGCACGCGCCCUUUUGGGUGUCGGGGCCUUUUGGCUCACGCGACGUGCUUAGGAUGCUGGCGUAAUGGCUUUAAACGACCCGUCUUGAAACACGGACCAAGGAGUCCAACAUGCCCGCGAGUGUUUGGGUGGAAAACUCAUGCGCGAAAUGAAAGUGAAAGUUGGGACCUCUGUCGUGGAGGGCACCGACGCCCGGACCAGACCUUCUGUGACGGAUCUGCGGUAGAGCGUGCAUGUUGGGACCCGAAAGAUGGUGAACUAUGCCUGAAUAGGGUGAAGCCAGAGGAAACUCUGGUGGAGGCUCGUAGCGAUUCUGACGUGCAAAUCGAUCGUCAAAUUUGGGUAUAGGGGCGAAAGAC
This 884-nucleotide ribosomal RNA is filed under the name Russula capillaris. RNAcentral's name for it is "partial 28S large subunit ribosomal RNA". It matches the Rfam family "Eukaryotic large subunit ribosomal RNA", at positions 74 to 931 of the family's 3401-position model. Lineage: Eukaryota; Fungi; Basidiomycota; Agaricomycetes; Russulales; Russulaceae. The record is from RNAcentral.